This 253-nucleotide ribosomal RNA is filed under the name uncultured bacterium. RNAcentral's name for it is "partial 16S ribosomal RNA". It matches the Rfam family "Bacterial small subunit ribosomal RNA", at positions 524 to 776 of the family's 1533-position model. The record is from RNAcentral.
UACGGGGGGUGCAAGCGUUGUUCGAAAUUACUGGGCGUAAAGCGUACGUAGGCGGUUUGGUAAGUCCUGUGUGAAAUCCCCCGGCUUAACCGGGGAAAGUCAUGGGAUACUGCUAGACUAGAGUGUGAAAGGGGAGAGUGGAAUUCCCAGUGUAGUGGUGAAAUACGUAGAUAUUGGGAGGAACACCGGUGGCGAAAGCGACUCUCUGGUUCAUAACUGACGCUGAGGUACGAAAGCGUGGGGAGCAAACAGG